RNAcentral lists this ribosomal RNA (66 nucleotides) under Sporormiella isomera. RNAcentral describes it as "partial 28S ribosomal RNA". Lineage: Eukaryota; Fungi; Ascomycota; Dothideomycetes; Pleosporales; Sporormiaceae. The record is from RNAcentral.
ACGCGAACUCGAGGCCUGUGUGCUGGCUCCCAGAAGCUAUCUUCACAAUUUGACCUCGGAUCAGGU